AUACAAAGAGAAGCGACCUCGCGAGAGCAAGCGGACCUCAUAAAGUGCGUCGUAGUCCGGAUUGGAGUCUGCAACUCGACUCCAUGAAGUCGGAAUCGCUAGUAAUCGUGGAUCAGAAUGCCACGGUGAAUACGUUCCCGGGCCUUGUACACACCGCCCGUCACACCAUGGGAGUGGGUUGCAAAAGAAGUAGGUAGCUUAACCUUCGGGAGGGCGCUUACCACUUUGUGAUUCAUGACUGGGGUGAAGUCGUAACAAGGUAACCGUAGGGGAACCUGCGGUUGGAUCACCUCCUUA
This 297-nucleotide ribosomal RNA is filed under the name Escherichia coli. RNAcentral's name for it is "partial 16S ribosomal RNA". It matches the Rfam family "Bacterial small subunit ribosomal RNA", at positions 1237 to 1533 of the family's 1533-position model. The record is from RNAcentral. Lineage: Bacteria; Pseudomonadati; Pseudomonadota; Gammaproteobacteria; Enterobacterales; Enterobacteriaceae. RNAcentral also lists the same sequence under 3 other names.